AGCUUGCUUCUCUUGAGAGCGGCGGACGGGUGAGUAAUGCCUAGGAAUCUGCCUGGUAGUGGGGGAUAACGUUCGGAAACGGACGCUAAUACCGCAUACGUCCUACGGGAGAAAGCAGGGGACCUUCGGGCCUUGCGCUAUCAGAUGAGCCUAGGUCGGAUUAGCUAGUUGGUGGGGUAAUGGCUCACCAAGGCGACGAUCCGUAACUGGUCUGAGAGGAUGAUCAGUCACACUGGAACUGAGACACGGUCCAGACUCCUACGGGAGGCAGCAGUGGGGAAUAUUGGACAAUGGGCGAAAGCCUGAUCCAGCCAUGCCGCGUGUGUGAAGAAGGUCUUCGGAUUGUAAAGCACUUUAAGUUGGGAGGAAGGGCAGUAAAUUAAUACUUUGCUGUUUUGACGUUACCGACAGAAUAAGCACCGGCUAACUCUGUGCCAGCAGCCGCGGUAAUACAGAGGGUGCAAGCGUUAAUCGGAAUUACUGGGCGUAAAGCGCGCGUAGGUGGUUCGUUAAGUUGGAUGUGAAAUCCCCGGGCUCAACCCGGGAACUGCAUUCAAAACUGACGAGCUAGAGUAUGGUAGAGGGUGG
This 588-nucleotide ribosomal RNA is filed under the name uncultured bacterium. Its description in RNAcentral is "bacterial SSU rRNA". It matches the Rfam family "Bacterial small subunit ribosomal RNA", at positions 77 to 661 of the family's 1533-position model. The record is from RNAcentral.